RNAcentral lists this transfer RNA (69 nucleotides) under Ictidomys tridecemlineatus (thirteen-lined ground squirrel). Its description in RNAcentral is "Spermophilus tridecemlineatus (thirteen-lined ground squirrel) tRNA". It matches the Rfam family "tRNA". Rfam says of the family: Transfer RNA (tRNA) molecules are approximately 80 nucleotides in length. Their secondary structure includes four short double-helical elements and three loops (D, anti-codon, and T loops). Lineage: Eukaryota; Metazoa; Chordata; Mammalia; Rodentia; Sciuridae. The record is from Rfam by way of RNAcentral.
GGGGUUGUAGCUCAAUGGUAGAGCACUUGCCUAGCACGUGUGAGGCACUGGGUUCCAUUCUCAGCACCG